GGGUGGUAAAUUCCAUCUAAAGCUAAAUAUUGGCGAGAGACCGAUAGCGAACAAGUACAGUGAUGGAAAGAUGAAAAGAACUUUGAAAAGAGAGUGAAAAAGUACGUGAAAUUGUUGAAAGGGAAGGGCUUGAGAUCAGACUUGGUAUUUUGCGUUCCCUUCCUUUUUGGUUGGGUUCCUCGCAGUUUACUGGGCCAGCAUCGGUUUGGAUGGUAGGAUAAUGACAUUGGAAUGUAGCUUUACUUCGGUGAAGUGUUAUAGACUUUGUUGAUACUGCCUAUCUAGACCGAGGACUGCGUCUUUGACUAGGAUGCUGGCGUAAUGAUCUUAAGCCGCCCGUCUUGAAACACGGAC
This 354-nucleotide ribosomal RNA is filed under the name Dujonia zeylanoides. Its description in RNAcentral is "eukaryotic LSU rRNA". It matches the Rfam family "Eukaryotic large subunit ribosomal RNA", at positions 294 to 666 of the family's 3401-position model. Lineage: Eukaryota; Fungi; Ascomycota; Pichiomycetes; Serinales; Debaryomycetaceae. The record is from RNAcentral.